CCCUUAGAUGUUCUGGGCCGCACGCGCGCUACAAUGAUGAAUUCAACGAGUUUAUAACCUUGGUUGAAAAGCCUGGGUAAUCUUUUGAACUUUCGUCGUGAUGGGGCUAGACCCUUGCAAUUAUUGGUCUCCAACGAGGAAUUCCUAGUAAACGCAAGUCAUCAGCUUGCAUUGAUUACGUCCCUGCCCUUUGUACACACCGCCCGUCGCACCUACCGAUUGAAUGGUCCGGUGGAAUCUUCGGAUUGAGACUUUGAUUUGUUUACUCAAAACGCUGUUUCAAGAAGUUGAUUAAACCUUACCAUUUAGAGGAAGGUGAAGUCGUAACA
Molecule: ribosomal RNA, 329 nt
Filed under: uncultured eukaryote
Lineage: Eukaryota
Description: partial 18S ribosomal RNA
Rfam family: Eukaryotic small subunit ribosomal RNA
Source: RNAcentral